AUGCGGCUGCAAGAGGGAGAGCUCGAUGAAGUCUACGUGGGAGAAGAGGAGAUCGGAAAACUUGCAAAGGAGGCCCGUUGGCUAGCUGUCGCAAGGGUAAACACCUCCAAAACUUUUAGUAGCACGGCAUUGAAGGAAACCCUAAAGUCCAUAUGGAACCUAGCUCAUGUUCCUGACAUUAGGGAAGCCGAUGACAAUGUUUUUGUCAUACAAGUCUUUUGCCUGGGGGAUUGGAAGAGAGUAAUGUUCCAAGGUCCAUGGAUCUUCCGUGGACUGAUGGUACUCAUUGAAGAAUUUGAUGGAAAGUGUGCUCCAGAAUCUGUCAAGCUCGAGAGGAUAUCAGUGUGGGCGCAGAUCCACAAGAUCCCAGAUUUGUACCGGAAGGAACCUAUUGUAGAUCAGCUGGCAAGGAGAAUUGGCAUUGUUAGAAGUGUAGAGCUAAAUCCAACACGUUAUUUCGAGGGAAAU
RNAcentral lists this ribosomal RNA (468 nucleotides) under Triticum aestivum (bread wheat). RNAcentral describes it as "partial small subunit ribosomal RNA". The record is from RNAcentral. Lineage: Eukaryota; Viridiplantae; Streptophyta; Magnoliopsida; Poales; Poaceae.